GAUGAAGAACGUAGCGAAAUGCGAUAAGUAAUGUGAAUUGCAGAAUUCAGUGAAUCAUCGAAUCUUUGAACGCACAUUGCGCCCGCCAGUAUUCUGGCGGGCAUGCCUGUUCGAGCGUCAUUUCAACCCUCAGGCCCCGCCUGGCGUUGGGGAUCGGCGCGGCCCUCUCCGGGCUGCCGGCCCCGAAAACUAGUGGCGGUCUCGCUGUAGUCCUCCUCUGCGCAGUAGCAACGCUCGCACUGGAACUCGGCGCGGCCACGCCGUAAAACACCCCACUUCUGAAAGUUGACCUCGGAUCAGGUAGGAAUACCCGCUGAACUUAAGAAUAUCAAUAAGCGGAGGA
Molecule: unclassified non-coding RNA, 343 nt
Filed under: soil metagenome
Description: partial contains 5.8S ribosomal RNA, internal transcribed spacer 2, and large subunit ribosomal RNA
Rfam family: 5.8S ribosomal RNA (bases 1-120)
Source: RNAcentral